GAUGAACGCUGGCGGCGUGCCUAAUACAUGCAAGUCGAGCGAACAUAUUAUGAGCUUGCUCCUCUGACGUUACCGGCGGACGGUUGAGUAACACGUGGAUAACCUACCUAUAAGACUGGGAUCACUUCGGGAAACCGGAGCUAAUACCGCAUAAUAUAUUGCACCGCAUGGUUCAAUAGUGAAAGACGGUUUUGCUGUCACUUAUAGAUGUAUCCGCGCCGCAUUAGCUAGUUGGUAAGGUAACGGCUUACCAAGGCAACGAUGCGUAGCCGAACUGAGAGGGUGAUCGGCCACACUGGGACUGAGACACGGUCCAGACUCCUACGGGAGGCAGCAGUAGGGAAUCUUCCGCAAUGGGCGAAAGCCUGACGGAGCAACGCCGCGUGAGUGAUGAAGGUCUUCGGAUCGUAAAACUCUGUUAUUAGGGAAGAAAAAAUGUGAAAGUAACUAUGCACGUCUUGACGGUACCUAAUCAGAAAGCCACGGCUAACUACGUG
This 497-nucleotide ribosomal RNA is filed under the name uncultured bacterium. RNAcentral describes it as "partial 16S ribosomal RNA". It matches the Rfam family "Bacterial small subunit ribosomal RNA", at positions 28 to 507 of the family's 1533-position model. The record is from RNAcentral.